UGCAGAAUCCCGUGAACCAUCGAGUCUUUGAACGCAAGUUGCGCCCGAAGCCGCUAGGCCGAGGGCACGCCUGCCUGGGCGUCA
Molecule: ribosomal RNA, 84 nt
Filed under: Crataegus rivularis
Lineage: Eukaryota; Viridiplantae; Streptophyta; Magnoliopsida; Rosales; Rosaceae
Also listed under: 26 other names
Description: partial 5.8S ribosomal RNA
Rfam family: 5.8S ribosomal RNA
About the family: 5.8S ribosomal RNA (5.8S rRNA) is a component of the large subunit of the eukaryotic ribosome. It is transcribed by RNA polymerase I as part of the 45S precursor that also contains 18S and 28S rRNA.
Source: RNAcentral